Myotis lucifugus (little brown bat) is the source of this 236-nucleotide long non-coding RNA. RefSeq lists it as uncharacterized. The record is from RefSeq and is a predicted model, not a curated record. The transcript has 2 exons. NCBI's taxonomy places the organism in Eukaryota, Metazoa, Chordata, Mammalia, Chiroptera, Vespertilionidae.
AAAAGGCUCCACAAGAUGAGAGGGACUGUACGUGCAGAAGUAACCGGCACUCACAUUCCAAAUGAUCUUAAAAAAAUACAGAAAAUCAAUAAUACUCCUAGAGAGGCCCAGACCUUAUUCUGGCCGAGCAGAGAAAAGAAAGGACCAUUAGAGAGAAAAACAAUCAUCACCCAAGACUCUACCGGAUCAAUUAUUACUUUACUUGAGAGACUGAGAAUAAAGGUAAAAGACUGUGA